GAGGAAUAUUGGUCAAUGGACGAGAGUCUGAACCAGCCAAGUAGCGUGAAGGAUGACUGCCCUAUGGGUUGUAAACUUCUUUUAUACGGGAAUAAAGUGAGGCACGUGUGCCUUUUUGUAUGUACCGUAUGAAUAAGGAUCGGCUAACUCCGUGCCAGCAGCCGCGGUAAUACGGAGGAUCCGAGCGUUAUCCGGAUUUAUUGGGUUUAAAGGGAGCGUAGGCGGACGCUUAAGUCAGUUGUGAAAGUUUGCGGCUCAACCGUAAAAUUGCAGUUGAUACUGGGUGUCUUGAGUACAGUAGAGGCAGGCGGAAUUCGUGGUGUAGCGGUGAAAUGCUUAGAUAUCACGAAGAACUCCGAUUGCGAAGGCAGCUUGCUGGACUGUAACUGACGCUGAUGCUCGAAAGUGUGGGUAUCAAACAGGAUUAGAUACCCUGGUAGUCCACACAGUAAACGAUGAAUACUCGCUGUUUGCGAUAUACAGUAAGCGGCCAAGCGAAAGCGUUAAGUAUUCCACCUGGGGAGUACGCCGGCAACGGUGAAACUCAAAGGAAUUGACGGGGGCCCGCACAAGCGGAGGAACAUGUGGUUUAAUUCGAUGAUACGCGAGGAACCUUACCCGGGCUUGAAUUGCAACUGAAUGAUGUGGAGACAUGUCAGCCGCAAGGCAGUUGUGAAGGUGCUGCAUGGUUGUCGUCAGCUCGUGCCGUGAGGUGUCGGCUUAAGUGCCAUAACGAGCGCAACCCUUAUCGAUAGUUACCAUCAGGUUAUGCUGGGGACUCUGUCGAGACUGCCGUCGUAAGAUGUGAGGAAGGUGGGAAUGACGUCAAAUCAGCACGGCCCUUACGUCCGGGGCUACACACGUGUUACAAUGGGGGGUACAGAAGGCAGCUACACGGCGACGUGAUGCUAAUCCCUAAAGCCUCUCUCAGUUCGGAUUGGAGUCUGCAACCCGACUCCAUGAAGCUGGAUUCGCUAGUAAUCGCGCAUCAGCCACGGCGCGGUGAAUACGUUCCCG
RNAcentral lists this ribosomal RNA (1017 nucleotides) under uncultured organism. RNAcentral's name for it is "bacterial SSU rRNA". It matches the Rfam family "Bacterial small subunit ribosomal RNA", at positions 356 to 1376 of the family's 1533-position model. The record is from RNAcentral.